Podarcis raffonei (Aeolian wall lizard) is the source of this 607-nucleotide long non-coding RNA. RefSeq lists it as uncharacterized. NCBI's taxonomy places the organism in Eukaryota, Metazoa, Chordata, Lepidosauria, Squamata, Lacertidae. The record is from RefSeq and is a predicted model, not a curated record. The transcript is spliced from 2 exons.
UCCUGAAUGCCUGCUCGCUACCCGCGGCAGAGUGGCACCUCCGCCCCCCUCCCGCUCCCCAAGGACAUUCGCAGGAUUUCCUCCUAGAGAGAGAGAGAGAGAGAGAGAGAGGUGGGCUGGUGCGUGCUGGAUGCCGCUCCUGCGACGAUGCCUCUCCUGCAAGCGAGCGCGCCUAGCUAACCCUUAGGAUCUAACCUCCCAUCCUGGCUGCGCCGACGCUCCUCCUGCUCAGGGGGCGCGAGCGACCGGGGCAGAGAGAGGCUGGAGCUGCUGCUGCUGCUGCUGCCGCCGCCGAUUGCUCCGCGCCGCCGUCUCCCGAGCUGUCACUGCUGCUGCUGCUGCGUUGGAUCCCGGAGUCUCCUCUGCUGCUUUCCUUAGGUUUGCUGCCUGGGCAGCUCCGGGUGCGCUCGAGAGAGGGGCUCCUGCUCCGCAGAGGCAGCUGCCAGCAUCUCCACCAACAGCACCAUCCCCAUUAUAGUCGAAGUUGCUGCUAUUAUUACCCCACUACUGCUACUACUACUAUUAUUAUUGAAGCUGGCUCCGCGGUCUGUCCUCUCUGGUUUCACAUCCUCUUUCCUGCUCACGAUUCAAAUACAAUAGAAGGAAA